RNAcentral lists this unclassified non-coding RNA (204 nucleotides) under uncultured fungus. RNAcentral's name for it is "sequence contains ITS1". Lineage: Eukaryota; Fungi. The record is from RNAcentral.
UUAACGAUUUAUAAGUAUUCAGACGACAUAAUUAUGAAGGAAUUUGAGAAGGCUACUGGCGGACACUGACCAGGGGCGAAAACCCCCGGCGGCCCCUGAAGGCGGGCCCACCAAAGCAACAUGGUAUAAUCAACAAAGGGUUGGAGGUCGGGCCUGAAAGACCCUAACUCGGUAAUGAUCCUUCCGCAGGUUCACCUACGGAAA